UGAGGAAUUUUGCGCAAUGGGGGCAACCCUGACGCAGCAACGCCGCGUGGGUGACGAAGGCCUUCGGGUCGUAAAGCCCUGUCGGGUGGGAAGAAGACCCUGAGGGGGGAAUACCCUCUUUUGGGGUGUGACGGUACCACCAGAGGAAGCACCGGCUAACUCCGUGCCAGCAGCCGCGGUAAUACGGAGGGUGCGAGCGUUAUUCGGAAUUACUGGGCGUAAAGCGCGUGCAGGCGGGGGGACAAGUCUGAUGUGAAAGCCCGGGGCUCAACCCCGGGAAGUGCAUUGGAAACGGUCCUUCUUGAGUGUUGGAGAGGAAGGGGGAAUUCCCGGUGUAGAGGUGAAAUUCGUAGAGAUCGGGAGGAAUACCAGUGGCGAAGGCGCCCUUCUGGACGACAAC
RNAcentral lists this ribosomal RNA (400 nucleotides) under uncultured bacterium. RNAcentral's name for it is "bacterial SSU rRNA". It matches the Rfam family "Bacterial small subunit ribosomal RNA", at positions 355 to 740 of the family's 1533-position model. The record is from RNAcentral.